GGGGAUGUACUGGUUUCGACGGGGGUAGGUGGUGUAUGAUAAGCGAGCCGUGGUUCCAUCUGCACGUUAAUCGGUGGGAACGUUUAAAUAUAAACGCUGAAAACGAAUACGCUUUAGCAGCCUAAACUGCUACUGCCUCUUGAGCUCCUCCUAUAGGCGAGGGAAGGCAGUCAAUAUGUAGGAUACUCUUUGGUCUUCUCCCUAGGGCUAGAGGGGAAACAAAUAGGGAUAGCAAGUAGGCGGCCCGUCGUUAGGCAGUUUAGGAGCGAAAUCCUAGUAUGACGUCUGCGCUCGGAGAAAGUUGUAUGACAAUAUUUUCGGACAGGGGUUCGACUCC
This 337-nucleotide transfer-messenger RNA is filed under the name Phascolarctobacterium sp. Its description in RNAcentral is "partial transfer-messenger RNA". It matches the Rfam family "transfer-messenger RNA". Rfam says of the family: Bacterial tmRNA, also known as 10Sa RNA or SsrA, is named for its dual tRNA and mRNA-like properties. Its role is to liberate the mRNA from a stalled ribosome. Lineage: Bacteria; Bacillati; Bacillota; Negativicutes; Acidaminococcales; Acidaminococcaceae. The record is from RNAcentral.